RNAcentral lists this ribosomal RNA (440 nucleotides) under uncultured bacterium. RNAcentral's name for it is "bacterial SSU rRNA". It matches the Rfam family "Bacterial small subunit ribosomal RNA", at positions 29 to 487 of the family's 1533-position model. The record is from RNAcentral.
AUGAACGCUGGCGACGUGGAUAAGGCAUGCAAGUCAAGGGGGUCCCGCAGCAAUGCGGGAUAACCGGCAGACGAGGUAGUAAUACGUAGGUACGAACCUUUUAGUUGGGUAUAGCUCGUCGAAAGACGGGGUAAUCCCCAAUAGUCCCUUCGGGGUAAAGUCGUAAGACGCUAAGAGAUCGGCCUGCGGGGUAUCAGCUAGUUGGUGGGGUAAUGGCCCACCAAGGCAAUGACGCCUAGGGGAGGUGAGAGCCUGACCCCCACCGAUGGUACUGGGACACGGACCCUACACCUACGGGUGGCUGCCGUCGGGAAUCUUCCGCAAUGGGCGAAAGCCUGACGGAGCGACGUCGCGUGAUUGAUGAAGUCCCUCUGGGAUGUAAAGAUCUUUUAUAGAGGAGAAAAUCCGGAUUUAUUCGGAUGUGCUAGUACUCUAGGAAU